RNAcentral lists this transfer RNA (65 nucleotides) under Flustra foliacea (greater hornwrack). RNAcentral describes it as "tRNA-Val". The record is from RNAcentral. Lineage: Eukaryota; Metazoa; Bryozoa; Gymnolaemata; Cheilostomatida; Flustridae.
AAUGUUAAAGUGUAACUAGAGAUGAUCUUUACAAGAUUAGGCCCGAUUGUGAUAAUCUUACACUA